ACUUGGAUAAGGCACUCUUAUUUUGUGCCUUCCAGCAAAAUAAAUUACCUUAUCCUUGGUG
MicroRNA precursor from Monodelphis domestica (gray short-tailed opossum), 61 nucleotides. It matches the Rfam family "mir-7386 microRNA precursor family". The record is from Rfam. Lineage: Eukaryota; Metazoa; Chordata; Mammalia; Didelphimorphia; Didelphidae.